CUACGGGACGCAGCAGUGAGGAAUAUUGCGCAACGGGGGAAACCCUGACGCAGCGACGCCGCGUGGAUGAUGAAGGCCUUAGGGUCGUAAAAUCCUGUCAGGUGGGAAGAAGUGGAUAUAGAUUAAUACUCUAUUUCUUUGACGGUACCACCAAAGGAAGCACCGGCUAACUCCGUGCCAGCAGCCGCGGUAAUACGGAGGGUGCAAACGUUGUUCGGAAUUACUGGGCGUAAAGCGCGCGUAGGCGGUUUGUUAAGUCAGAUGUGAAAGUCCAUGGCUCAACUAGGGAAGUGCAUUUGAAACUGGCAGACUUGAGUACUGGAGGGGGGGAUGGAAUUCCCGGUGUAGAGGUGAAAUUCGUAGAUAUCGGGAGGAAUACCGGUGGCGAAGGCGAUCACCUGGCCAGAUACUGACGCUGAGGUGCGAAAGCGUGGGGAGCAAACAGGAUUAGAUACCCCUGUAGUC
RNAcentral lists this ribosomal RNA (465 nucleotides) under uncultured bacterium. RNAcentral's name for it is "partial 16S ribosomal RNA". It matches the Rfam family "Bacterial small subunit ribosomal RNA", at positions 339 to 795 of the family's 1533-position model. The record is from RNAcentral.